GCGGAAGUGGCACAGCCUGGACCAAUGCGCCGGACUUGAAAUCCGGUGGUGAUUCACCUCGGGAGUUCGAAUCUCUCCUUCCGCG
This 85-nucleotide transfer RNA is filed under the name methanogenic archaeon ISO4-H5. It matches the Rfam family "tRNA". From Rfam's summary of the family: Transfer RNA (tRNA) molecules are approximately 80 nucleotides in length. Their secondary structure includes four short double-helical elements and three loops (D, anti-codon, and T loops). Further hydrogen bonds mediate the characteristic L-shaped molecular structure. tRNAs have two regions of fundamental functional importance: the anti-codon, which is responsible for specific mRNA codon recognition, and the 3' end, to which the tRNAs corresponding amino acid is attached (by aminoacyl-tRNA synthetases). tRNAs cope with the degeneracy of the genetic code in two manners: having more than one tRNA (with a specific anti-codon) for a particular amino acid; and 'wobble' base-pairing, i.e. permitting non-standard base-pairing at the 3rd anti-codon position. Lineage: Archaea; Methanobacteriati; Thermoplasmatota; Thermoplasmata. The record is from Rfam by way of RNAcentral.